Dermacentor andersoni is the source of this 957-nucleotide long non-coding RNA. RefSeq lists it as uncharacterized. The record is from RefSeq and is a predicted model, not a curated record. NCBI's taxonomy places the organism in Eukaryota, Metazoa, Arthropoda, Arachnida, Ixodida, Ixodidae.
CGCGUCAAAUCCCCUAAACACUUUUCAGAGCAUGCGGUCAGUAUACCAAGCAGCAAAUUCUUUCAGGGAGCGAGGAAGGCACGAGCAAGCGCACUGUUCGUAACCGACAGGUAAGGCAGCGAGAGACGCUAAAAGCAAACGGAACCGGCGAUGUCGCCGUAAAAUUUCCCGUUAAAGCUUCUCACCGAUGUUGGAUCUGGAGGACAAUCCCAAUUACUGUCCCCCAGAUUGUUGACCUUGCCGUUGGGUGCGGGAGUUGGCCGAGAUUGAGGACUUUGAGAUGAAAACUGGAGGUUUAUUUACAGUAUUUACAGUGAGAGUACAAAGAAAUUAACAGUCAUAAAGUCAUUACGGGCCGGCAGCAACUCGGGCGCUGCGGCCCGUGGCAAGAAGUUCGAGAAAGAUGAAUCAAGGAAUGCUCUAGGAAUCCUCUUCUGCUGCUCCCGGUCUGCGUCUUUUAAGCCCUUCGGUGUCUUGGCUUAAAACGACGUUCGGCCAAUGGGCGAGCCCGCUCAGAUGACGCCAUUUUCGGCCAAUGGUAGGCGCCCGUGCGAUGGUGUCAUACCCGGCGAAGAGAGUCGCCGCUUGGUCCCCCUGCGGUCUUGCCUUGCUGACUUACGCGCAUGUGUUCUUAUUGUGCCACAGCUAUAAGUUAACACAGAAUUCUCUUUGUAGUGGUGAAGCCGUGACCCACAACAGCGUCCACAUAACCCGUGGCCAUGGCUGCAGCAGCGCGGCGUGUAAUCUGGAUGGACAUGUCAGGGUACACGUGCACUUACUUCAAGAUGAUGACAGUCCACCUCAAGCACAGCCUCUCCUCAAUGAUAAGUAGCGAGAUUAAAUGAAAGGAAAAUAUCACAUCCGUAACCAGACUGAUACUGUGUUUUUCUUUCAUUUAACCUCCUUCUGCAUUUAAGGAAGCAUUGAUAUGCCCAAUAAAUGUUUUUGUUAAAUUUC